AAAGUAAACUAGGCAAUCGCCGGUGGUGUACCGCAAGGUCCCACGGGAGGAAAGUCCGAGCUCCACAGGGCAGGGUGCCGGCUAACGGCCGGUGGAGGCAACUCUAAGGAAAGUGCCACAGAAAUGCAGACCGCCGAUGGGAACGUGACCGUUCCACAGGCAAGGGUGCAACGGUGCGGUAAGAGCGCACCAGCAGCAUGGAGACAUGCUGGCUAGGUAAACCCCACCCGGAGCAAGACCAUAAAGGGAUCGGCGCCUUGACGGGCGCAGCUGUGGCCCGCAGUGAUCCCGGGUUGGUCGCUUGAGCGGUGCAGCAAUGCAUCGCCUAGACAGAUGAUUGCCACUCCAAUCGGUGGGAGGCGUUCCGACAACGCCGCGUAACCACUUGGAGGACAGAACUCGGCUUAUGGUUUGCUUUCCCA
RNAcentral lists this RNase P RNA (422 nucleotides) under Melghirimyces profundicolus. Its description in RNAcentral is "Bacterial RNase P class A". It matches the Rfam family "Bacterial RNase P class A". Rfam says of the family: Ribonuclease P (RNase P) is a ubiquitous endoribonuclease, found in archaea, bacteria and eukarya as well as chloroplasts and mitochondria. Lineage: Bacteria; Bacillati; Bacillota; Bacilli; Caryophanales; Thermoactinomycetaceae. The record is from Rfam by way of RNAcentral.